Empidonax traillii (willow flycatcher) is the source of this 316-nucleotide non-coding RNA. Lineage: Eukaryota; Metazoa; Chordata; Aves; Passeriformes; Tyrannidae. The record is from the annotation of a RefSeq genome assembly.
AUGGUGUGGCUGCCCAAGGUGGUCCCCCUGUGGCUCCUCGGCCGCCCCUCCGGCUUCACCUUCGGCGACUACACCAUGUACUGGGUGCGCCAGAGCCCCGGGAAGGGGCUGGAAUGGGUCGCUGGGAUCUACAGCAAUGGUGGUAGAACCUACUAUGCGCCGUCGGUGAAGGGCCGGUUCAGCAUGGCCAGGGACAACGGGCAGAGCUCGGUGACGCUGCAGAUGAACAACCUCAGGGACGAGGAUUCCGCCACCUAUUUCUGUGCCAAACGUGUCAAUGCUGGUUUUGGUGGUGCUGAUGCCAUCGACCCCCUUU